This 496-nucleotide ribosomal RNA is filed under the name uncultured bacterium. RNAcentral's name for it is "partial 16S ribosomal RNA". It matches the Rfam family "Bacterial small subunit ribosomal RNA", at positions 28 to 507 of the family's 1533-position model. The record is from RNAcentral.
GAUGAACGCUGGCGGCGUGCCUAAUACAUGCAAGUCGAGCGAACAGACGAGGAGCUUGCUCCUCUGACGUUAGCGGCGGACGGGUGAGUAACACGUGGAUAACCUACCUAUAAGACUGGGAUAACUUCGGGAAACCGGAGCUAAUACCGGAUAAUAUAUUGAACCGCAUGGUUCAAUAGUGAAAGACGGUUUUGCUGUCACUUAUAGAUGGAUCCGCGCCGCAUUAGCUAGUUGGUAAGGUAACGGCUUACCAAGGCAACGAUGCGUAGCCGACCUGAGAGGGUGACCGCCCCCAUUGAACUGAGGACCGGGCCCAGAUCCCUAGGGAAGGCAGCAUUAGGGAACCUUCGCCAAUGGGCGAAAGCUUGCCGGAGAACCGCCGGGUGAGUGAUGAAGGUCUCCGGUCCGAAAACCUUUGUUAUUAGGGAAAAACAAAGGUGAAAGUAACUAUGCCCGUCUGGAGGUUACCUAUCAGAAAGCCACGGCUAACUACGUG